Cyprinus carpio carpio is the source of this 1826-nucleotide long non-coding RNA. The record is from Ensembl. Lineage: Eukaryota; Metazoa; Chordata; Actinopteri; Cypriniformes; Cyprinidae.
AUUUUUAUUUAUGCAUUUGUAUAUGUUAAUAUUUAUACAGUUUUUUUUUUUUUUUGAGCAACUGGGAUGGUGCCCCCCUGGGAGUUGGAGCCCUAUGCAAACUGCGUACUCUGCAUAUAGAAAGCGGCGAUACUGAAAGCUUGCAUUUGGAUCUAUAAUCGUUGUCACAUCAAGUCCUCAUUACAGAAGACUUCACCUAUCACAGUUCCGGCAGCUUUAUAAAACACCAGAUCACCAUGGAUCCAGCAUCACGCCUCAUUCGCCUCUGUCAAGGGUCUGUUCACUUAAGGCCUGCCAAGCCACAGUCUGCUCACGUCAUGCCUGCCAAACCAAAGCCUGUUCACGUCAUGCCUGCCAAGCCACAGCCUGCACACAUCCACUCUGUCAAGCCAAACCUUGUUCACAACAUGUCUGCCAAAGCCAGGGCCUGUUCACAAAAUGGCUGCUGAGCCAAGGACUGUUUACAAAAUGGCUGCCAUUCAAGAGACCGUUCACAAAAUGGCUACCAAUCCAAAAACUGUUUACAAAAUGGUUCCCACAUGAGAAACUGUUCAAAAGAUGGCCGACACUCAAGAGCCUGUUCACAAGAUGGCAACCAUGCCUGAGUGUCACCACAGCCACCAUCCCAGAGCCUCUUAACACCACAGUCGCCAUGCCAGAGUCUCUUCACACCUCCGCUGAUCUUCCAGAGUCUCGUCACGUCUCAGCUGAUCUUCCAGAGUCCCGUCACAUCUUGGCUGAUCUUCCAGAGUCUCGUCACAUCUCGGCUGAUCUUCCAGAGUCUCGUCACGUCUCAGCUGAUCUUCCAGAGUCUCGUCACGUCUCGGCUGAUCUUCCAGAGACUCGUCACGUCUCGGCUGAUCUUCCAGAGUCACGUCCUGUUGCGGUUGUGUUACCGCAACCCCCCACAGUCCUGUCAAUAGAACCUAUCAUUAAGCGUUACAGGUUGGCAUCCAGCAUGGAGGAUCCACCACUGGAGUCAACACGACAACAUAUAUGCCUAAACUACUCACUCUAGCACUCCUGUUCCUGAACUGAUUCCCCUGUCUGCAGCACUUCCCAUAAUGGGGGUUGCUUUAUGAGUUGUUUGGGGUGCAUACACUACCAAUGAAACUCCCAAGGUGAUGACGCCUGCUGCAGUUUCUCCAGGGUUGGCAGUGCAUGCUGCAGAACCUCCCGAUGCAGUGGCGCUCGCUUCAGCUUCUUGCACAGUGGUGGCACCCAGCAAUGCACUCCCAGCCUGUCUUGUCACAGCCACGGAGGCUGCCUAUGUACUCUUGUCCUGUCCUGAACUGGCUAUGGAGGCCAUCUACGAACUCUCAUCCUGUCCUGAACUGACCAUGGAGGUCGUCUAUGAAUUUGUGUUCUGUCUCAACCCAGCCACAGAGGCCGUCUGUGAACUCUAUGACUGUCCAGUUGCCUCUAAGGAGGCUGCCCAUGAACUCACUGUGUGUCCAGCCUCAAGGACUGAUCCUGGUUGUCUGAGCAUCCAGCCUUGGCCCUUGGAGUCUUGAAUAAAUGGUUUAUGUUUUAUGUUUCAGUGUCUCCGAUGCCUUAGUCUCUGCCAUGGCUUACUUAUCCAUCUGCUCUGCCGUGGUGGACCUCUGCCUUGCUCUGGUGGUCCUCUGCUCCGCCUUGGCUUCCUGCUCCACCAGCUCUGCCUCACUCCCCAGGUCCUCCAUGGUCCAUGGUCUGCCAUUGCUCCAUGGCCCUGGUCCUCCAGUGUUUCACUGUCUGCCACUGCUCCAUGGUCCAGGUCCACCACUGUUCCACAGUCUAGACCUGCCUCUGCUUCAUGGCCCAGGUCCUCCAGUGUUUUUCGGUCC